This 447-nucleotide ribosomal RNA is filed under the name uncultured bacterium. RNAcentral's name for it is "bacterial SSU rRNA". It matches the Rfam family "Bacterial small subunit ribosomal RNA", at positions 355 to 825 of the family's 1533-position model. The record is from RNAcentral.
UAACGAAUCUUCCGCAAUGGGCGAAAGCCUGACGGAGCAAUGCCGCGUGUGGGAUGAAGCGCCUUCGGCGUGUAAACCACUGUCAGGGAAUGGAACCAAUGAUUAUUCCCAAAGGAAGUGGCGACUAACUCUGUGCCAGCAGUCGCGGUAAUACAGAGGCCACAAGCGUUAGUCGGAAUCACUGGGCUUAAAGGGUGCGUAGGCGGGCCCGCAAGCGUCUUGUGAAAUCCCAUGGCUCAACCAUGGAAUUGCAGGGCGAACUGCGGGUCUUGAGGCAGGUAGGGGCCGGAAGAACAGUAGGUGGAGCGGUGAAAUGCGUAGAUAUCUACUGGAAUGCCGAUGGGGAAGCCGUCCGGCUGGGCCUGUCCUGACGCUGAGGCACGAAAGCGUGGGGAGCAAACAGGAUUAGAUACCCUGGUAGUCCCUGAGCGGGCUGGCAAGGCGCAU